AAAUCAACAUUGAACUUGGUUAACUACCCUCAAGAUUUGUAUACUAAAAAUAUUUCUUCUCCAAUUUACCUCUAAAUUAAUAUCAAGAUACUUUCAGCUUAUUCUACUGGAUCUUGGUUAUGAAAUUGGAUUGGAAUUACUAUAUAUUGUAGGUCCUUGUUCACAAGAUCAUCUGUAUUUUAGCUAAAUGUGUGAAGAAAUGUCUAGCAAAGAAGUGAAGACUGCCCUAAAAAGUGCAAGAGAUGCCAUCAGAAACAAAGAGUACAAAGAAGCUUUGAAACAUUGCAAGACAGUGUUGAAACAAGAGAAAAAUAACUAUAAUGCCUGGGUUUUCAUUGGUGUUGCUGCAGCUGAACUAGAGCAGCCUGAUCAGGCCCAGGGUGCCUAUAAGAAGGCUGCUGAACUAGACCCAGAGCAGCUUCUUGCUUGGCAGGGGCUAGCAAGUUUGUAUGAAAAGUGUGAUCACGAAAAUGCUAAGGGUGAUUUACCUGGUGUUUAUCAAAAGCUGCUGGAUCUCUAUGAAAGUGUUGACAAGCAGAAGUGGUGUGAUGUCUGUAAGAAACUUGUGGAUCUACAUCACCAGGAAAAGAGACACCUAGAGGUGGCUCGGACAUGGUAUAAAUUGAUAAAGACGCGGCAAGAAGAUGGAGCAGACAAGCAAGAGCUUUAUGAGCUGUGGAGAAAACUGACUCAAUUGCUCGCUGAGAAUAUAGAGGAUCAGAAUAAUGAAACGCAGCAGAUGCUUUUAACUGCAUUUGAGAAUGCACUGGACCUAGCAGAUAGUAUUCCCAGUGAAGAUCACCAAGUACUUUAUAAGCAUUUCAUUCAGUGCUUAUCUAAACUUCCUCAUGAAACUGAGAGACUGAAGAAGGCCUGUGAAGGAAUGAUGAAUUUCUAUCCUACUGUACAGUAUCCACUAGAAGUAAUUUGCUUGCACUUGAUUGAAUCAGGGAGUCUGGCGGAUGAAGGACAGCAGUAUUGUUGUAAGCUAAUAGAAAUGAAUUCAAAAAGUGGUCCAGGCCUCAUUGGCUUAGGCAUUAAAGCUUUACAAGACAAGAAGUAUGAAGAUGCUGUUAGUCACCUAACAGAAGGCUUGAAAGAACUUCCUCUCUGCGUAGCUGGCUGGUGUCAUUUAGCCAAAGCCCAAGUCAAAGUGCACAGACCUAAGGAAGCAAUUCUUUCUUGCAACCAAGCGUUGAAGAACAUAGAUAACCACAGUGCAGCCGGUAGCAGAUGUCAUCAGAAGAAUUUGUGUCUUCUUUUGAAAGCUGAGGCUUUGCUUAAACUCUCAGAUUGUGAAUCUUCAGAGGAAGCAAUUCAUAUUCUUGAUCAGGUUUCGGAUACAGAUAAUAUCCCAGGACUGCUCAUUCUUCAAGGCCUGGCCCAUCUGAACACAGGUGCUGUAGACAAGGCUACAAAGAUUAUGGAAGACCUUCGAGCUUCUUACCCUGACCUGGCCAAAGUUCAUGCACUUGAGGCUUUGAUUCAUUUUACUAAGAAGGACUAUCUGCAAGCAGAAGCAUGUUUCCAAAGAGCACUUGAAAAAGAUGCUGAAGUUGCUGAAUAUCAUUACCAGCUUGGAUUGACAUACUGGUUCAUGGGUGAAGAAACAAGAAAAGAUAAAGCAAAGGCUCUUACCCAUUUUCUGAAGGCUGCAAGACUGGACACAUACAUGGGUAAAGUUUUCUGCUAUUUAGGUCAUUAUUACCGUGAUGUAGCUGGAGACAGAAACAGAGCCCGUGGAUGUUACAGAAAAGCUUUUGAGUUAGAUGACACCGAUGCUGAGUCUGGAGCAGCGGCUGUUGACCUAAGUGUGGAACUUGAAGACACGGAAACUGCUUUAGCUAUCUUAACAGCAGUAACUCAAAAGGCAAGUGCUGGAGCAGCAAAGUGGGCCUGGCUUAGGCGAGGACUAUACCAUUUGAAAGAUGGUCAACAUUCUCAAGCAGUGGCUGAUUUGCAGGCAGCACUCAGGGCAGACCCAAAGGACUGCAAUUGUUGGGAAUCCUUAGGAGAGGCGUACUUAAGCAGGGGCGGCUAUACAACAGCCUUGAAGUCUUUCACAAGAGCCAGUGAGCUGAACCCAGACUCCACGUACAGUGUGUUUAAAGUGGCAGCAAUACAGCAGAUCCUAGGCAGGUAUACUGAGGCCAUCGCUCAGUAUCAGCUGAUCAUUAAAAAGAAAGAGGAUUAUGUGCCCGCCUUGAAAGGUUUGGGCGAAUGCCAUCUAAUGAUGGCAAAAGCAGCCUUAGUGGAUUUUCUGGAUGGAAAAGCUGUAGACUGUGUGGAAAAAGCUCUGGAAUAUUUUACUUGGGCACUGCAGCAUCGAGCUGAUGUGUCCUGCCUCUGGAAGCUCGCUGGGGAUGCCUGCAGCAGCCUGCAUGCUGUUUCACCGUCUAAAGUGCAUGUUCGCGUGUUAGGAGUGCUUCUCGGCCAGCAGGAAGGAAGUGAAGUAUUGAAGAAAGAUGAGCUCCUGAACCUAGGAGGAAGGUGUUAUGGUCGUGCACUAAAGUUGAUGUCUACAUCGAAUACAUGGUGUGAUCUUGGAAUUAAUUAUUACCACCAAGCACGACAUCUAGCAGAGACAGGUGGCAGCACGGAUGGCCUUACAGAGCUACUGGAGAAAUCUGUGCAUUGUCUGAAAAAGGCAGUGAGACUGGACAGUAAAAAUCACUUAUACUGGAAUGCUCUUGGUGUGGUUGCAUGUUACCAUGGUAUUGGGAAUUAUGCUCUUGCUCAGCACUGUUUCAUCAAAUCGAUCCAGGCAGAACAAAUUAAUGCUGCUGCGUGGACCAACUUAGGAGUGCUAUACCUUGCGACAGAAAACAUUGAGCAAGCUCAUGAAGCUUUCAAAAUGGCUCAGUCCCUUGAUCCAUCUUAUUUAUUGUGCUGGAUUGGACAAGCUCUUAUUGCAGAGACAGUUGGAAGUUAUGACACCAUGGAUCUCUUCAGGCACACUACAGAGCUCAGCAUGCAUACUGAAGGAGCCAUAGGUUAUGCAUAUUGGGUUUGCACAACAUUACAAGACAAAAGCAACAGAGAAACAGAGCUAUACAAGUACAACAUCCUCCAGAUGAAUGCUGUCCCUGCAGCACAGGGUGUUCUGUGUAAAUAUGUGGAAAGAAUUCAGAAUUACGCUCCAGCUUUCACAAUGUUGGGUUAUUUAAAUGAACGUCUACAGUUAAGAAGGGAAGCAGCAGAGGCAUACCAAAGGGCAGCUUCACUGUUAGAUCCUACAGAAGACCAGCAUACUUACAAUGUUACAAUGAGAAACUGGGGCAGAUUGUUGUGUUCCAUUGGUGAAUAUGACAAAGCUGUCCAGGCCUUUAAGUCAACGCCCCUGGAGGAAAUGGAGGACAUCGUAGGUUUGGCAUUGGCAUUGUUUAUGAAGGGACUAUAUAAGGAGAGCAACAAAGCCUAUGAGAGAGCCUUGACUGUUGUCAAAUCUGAGCAAGACAAAGCACAUGUCUUAACAGCUCUGGCAAUAACAGAAUACAAACAAGGACAAAUGGAUGCAGCCAAGUCAUUGCUUUUCAAAUGCUCUAUUUUAAAGGAACCAACCACAGAAAGCCUUCAAACCCUGUGUGCUCUAGGGUUGGCAAUGCAGGAUGCUACGCUGUCAAAAGCAGCACUUAAUGAGUUCCUAAAGCACACGAAGCACAAGAACGAUUAUCACAGAUGCCUUCUUACUUCAGCCAUCUGUGCACUCCAGGGCCGCGGUGUGGCAGUACAGAGACAGGCAGCCAAGGCUGUCCACAGUAACCCUGCUGACCCGGCUCUUUGGUCUUUGCUGUCUCGAGUUGUUGCUCAGUAUACACAACGGAAUGCAAAGGGAGGAGCUGUUGCCGGCACCGUGGCUCAUGUUCUGGAUGCAAAUCAUGGAAAGAAGGCAUUAUUGUACACUGCAGUAAACCAGUUGGCCAUGGGAAGCAGUACAGUAGAAGAUGAAAAAAAUAUUUCUCUAAAGACCAUUCAGAAGGCAGCUUUCCUUUCCCCAGAUGACCCUGCUGUCUGGGCUGGGCUGAUGGCAGCCUGCCAUGCUGAUGAUAAACUGGCUUUGGUCAGCAACACUCAGCCCAAGAGGCUUGAUUUGCACUUGGCACUGCUAUCUGCUGUUUCUGCGUCACUUAAGGACAAAGACAUUUUGCAAAAUUACAACCAGUCACUUGAAAAGUGGUCUCUCUCACAAGCUGUCACUGGUCUAAUUGACACAGGAAGAAUAUCUGAAGCGGAGUCUCUGUGCACAAAGAGUUUAAAAAGUAACCCUGAUCAGCCAGCAGUUGUCUUACUGUUGAGACAAGUUCAGUGUAAAUCACUGCUGGAGUCACAGAGGCCCCUCCCAGAUGCUGUACUCGAAGAACUGCAGAAAACAGUCAUGUCCAAUUCCACCUCUGUUCCGGCGUGGCAGUGGUUGGCACAGGUGUAUCAGUCCCAAGGAAUGAUGGGUGCCGCAGAGAUGUGUUACAGAAAGAGUCUGCAAGUGGCAUCCCAACAGGGCAGCUGGAAUGGGAAGCUCUCGAGUCUGUUGAAGCUAGCACUGCUUGCAUUGGAAGUAUGCAUGGCUAAUGUUCCCGGAGAUCAUUGGUCAUCCUUGCUUCAAGAGGCCACAAGUGAGGCCUUGAAAGUUUGCUUUUGUCCUUUGGCUGUGUUCUUGCAAGCUUUGUUACAGUUCAACCGCAAGAUGGGAGCAAGAGAGACACGGCGACUCUUGGAGAGAGUAGUGUAUCAGCCUGGCUAUCCCAACUCAAUUGUAUCGACUGCACGUUGGUACCUCUUAAGACACCUCUAUGCCAAAAACGACCAUGAGCUCAUUGAUGUGUUGGUGAAGAAUGCUGAGGCUCACGGUGACAAAAGAACAUUGGAGCUGAAUGAGAAGCUGUCAUCACAGUAAUCGUGGUUGUGAGACUACCGCAAGAGCCGAAGAAAAUAAGGCGAGGCCAUCAGUCAAGACUUCUCAUCUGAACAACAUACUCUAGAACUAGUUGUAUCAGCUGGGCCUGGUGCCGCACACCUUUAAUCUCAGCCCUCACGAGGCAGAACUGAGGGGAUGUCUGUGAGUUCCAGACCAGCCUACAGUACACAAGUUCUUCAGACCAAGUCUUGAUGAAAUAUGCACAUGCUCUUGUAGUCUGUCUUGCUAGUUCCAGCUCAGACCCUGUUGAAGAAGCAGUAUGAGGAUGCUUGCAAGAGUGACUGCUAGUGAAUUGUCUGGUUGCAUUUAAAAACAAAUAUUAAUGAAAAAUUGUUGAAAAUGAUGCUGAUAAUACUUAUUAUUUGUGCAAUUUCCUUGUUCAUGGUGAAAAGACAUUAACUUCCUGAAAUAAAACAAAAAUCUGUCUUAUUUUCUCAUA
This is an RNA transcript of Phodopus roborovskii (desert hamster), 5351 nucleotides long. It is a transcript of the gene named SKI3 subunit of superkiller complex, with no coding region annotated. The record is from RefSeq and is a predicted model, not a curated record. Lineage: Eukaryota; Metazoa; Chordata; Mammalia; Rodentia; Cricetidae. The transcript is spliced from 43 exons.